RNAcentral lists this ribosomal RNA (617 nucleotides) under Trichoderma koningiopsis. RNAcentral describes it as "eukaryotic LSU rRNA". The stretch from base 240 to 393 matches the Rfam family "5.8S ribosomal RNA". Lineage: Eukaryota; Fungi; Ascomycota; Sordariomycetes; Hypocreales; Hypocreaceae. The record is from RNAcentral.
UGGAAGUAAAAGUCGUAACAAGGUCUCCGUUGGUGAACCAGCGGAGGGAUCAUUACCGAGUUUACAACUCCCAAACCCAAUGUGAACCAUACCAAACUGUUGCCUCGGCGGGGUCACGCCCCGGGUGCGUCGCAGCCCCGGAACCAGGCGCCCGCCGGAGGGACCAACCAAACUCUUUCUGUAGUCCCCUCGCGGACGUUAUUUCUUACAGCUCUGAGCAAAAAUUCAAAAUGAAUCAAAACUUUCAACAACGGAUCUCUUGGUUCUGGCAUCGAUGAAGAACGCAGCGAAAUGCGAUAAGUAAUGUGAAUUGCAGAAUUCAGUGAAUCAUCGAAUCUUUGAACGCACAUUGCGCCCGCCAGUAUUCUGGCGGGCAUGCCUGUCCGAGCGUCAUUUCAACCCUCGAACCCCUCCGGGGGGUCGGCGUUGGGGAUCGGGAACCCCUAAGACGGGAUCCCGGCCCCGAAAUACAGUGGCGGUCUCGCCGCAGCCUCUCCUGCGCAGUAGUUUGCACAACUCGCACCGGGAGCGCGGCGCGUCCACGUCCGUAAAACACCCAACUUCUGAAAUGUUGACCUCGGAUCAGGUAGGAAUACCCGCUGGACUUAAGCAUAUCA